GGUUCUAUGGUGUAAUGGUUAGCACUCUGGACUUUGAAUCCAGCGAUCUGGUAGAACCU
This 59-nucleotide transfer RNA is filed under the name Loxodonta africana (African savanna elephant). It matches the Rfam family "tRNA". Rfam says of the family: Transfer RNA (tRNA) molecules are approximately 80 nucleotides in length. Their secondary structure includes four short double-helical elements and three loops (D, anti-codon, and T loops). Further hydrogen bonds mediate the characteristic L-shaped molecular structure. tRNAs have two regions of fundamental functional importance: the anti-codon, which is responsible for specific mRNA codon recognition, and the 3' end, to which the tRNAs corresponding amino acid is attached (by aminoacyl-tRNA synthetases). tRNAs cope with the degeneracy of the genetic code in two manners: having more than one tRNA (with a specific anti-codon) for a particular amino acid; and 'wobble' base-pairing, i.e. permitting non-standard base-pairing at the 3rd anti-codon position. The record is from Rfam by way of RNAcentral. Lineage: Eukaryota; Metazoa; Chordata; Mammalia; Proboscidea; Elephantidae.